Molecule: long non-coding RNA, 426 nt
Organism: Perognathus longimembris pacificus (Pacific pocket mouse)
Lineage: Eukaryota; Metazoa; Chordata; Mammalia; Rodentia; Heteromyidae
Exons: 3
Source: RefSeq, a predicted model, not a curated record
AAAAGAAAAAGAAUGUUGCUUCUUUCCAAGCAUUAGUUGCAAAACUACGAGGAAAUAAAGAAUAGUUUGGAUGAAAAAACAAAAAUAAUUGCAGAAAUUUAAUGAAGGAAGCUCGGGGUUCUUUUUGUUUUUUACUUUUGUUUGUGCUGGUCCUGGGGCUCAAACUCAGGGCUUGGCUAGCACUCUGUCGCUAGAGUCACAGCUCUACUUCUGGAUUCAUGGUGGUUGACGAAAUAAGUCUCACAGACUUAAAUUAGUAAGAACCAAAGCAGUAAUCAGUUUAACAAACACAGAUAUUAAGGAUACUCUGUUGAAUCGAAGCACACGAAAUAAAGUAGUAAGCUAAACUUAUAUAUUCUUUUUUUGCCAUUUUCCAGUCCUGGGGCUUGAACUCAGGGCCUAAGCACUGCCCCUGGCUUCAUUUUG